AGAGUUUGAUCAUGGCUCAGAACGAACGCUGGCGGCGUGGAUAAGACAUGCAAGUCGAACGGGACUACUUUUGGUAGCAAUACCGAGAGUAGUUUAGUGGCGAACGGGUGCGUAACACGUGGGCAAUCUGCCUUAAAGUGGGGGAUAGCUCGGCGAAAGCCGAAUUAAUACCGCAUGUGAUCGGAGGGGACAUCCCUUCGAAAUCAAAGUCGGGGCAACCUGACGCUUUUUGAGGAGCCCGCGGCCUAUCAGCUAGUUGGUGAGGUAAUGGCUCACCAAGGCUCUGACGGGUAGCUGGUCUGAGAGGACGACCAGUCACACUGGAACUGAGACACGGUCCAGACACCUACGGGUGGCAGCAGUCGAGAAUUUUUCUCAAUGGGGGAAACCCUGAAGGAGCGACGCCGCGUGGAGGAUGAAGGUCUUCGGGUUGUAAACUCCUGUCAUUUGGGAACAAGUUGGACGCCGUAACUGCGCGUCCAUUGAUAGUACCAGAAGAGGAAGGGACGGCUAACUCUGUGCCAGCAGCCGCGGUAAUACAGAGGUCUCAAGCGUUGUUCGGAUUCAUUGGGCGUAAAGGGUGUGUAGGUGGCGCGCUAAGUCGGGUGUGAAAUUUCGGAGCUUAACUCCGAAACUGCAUUCGAUACUGGCGUGCUUGAGGACUGGAGAGGAGACUGGAAUUCAUGGUGUAGCAGUGAAAUGCGUAGAGAUCAUGAGGAAGACCAGUGGCGAAGGCGGGUCUCUGGACAGUUCCUGACACUGAGACACGAAGGCCAGGGGAGCAAACGGGAUUAGAUACCCUAGUAGUCC
RNAcentral lists this ribosomal RNA (810 nucleotides) under uncultured bacterium. RNAcentral's name for it is "bacterial SSU rRNA". It matches the Rfam family "Bacterial small subunit ribosomal RNA", at positions 8 to 796 of the family's 1533-position model. The record is from RNAcentral.